AACGCACAUUGCGCCCAUUAGUAUUCUAGUGGGCAUGCCUGUUCGAGCGUCAUUUCAACCCUUAAGCCCUGUUGCUUAGUGUUGGGAGCCUGCCUAAUCGCAGCUCCUCAAAGUAAGUGGCGGAGUCGGAUUGUGCUCUAAGCGUAGUAAUUUUUUCCUCGCUUCUGAAGACAGUCCUUCCCUAGCCGUUAAACCCCUUAUUUUUAAAGGUUGACCUCGGAUCAGGUAGGAAUACCCGCUGAACUUAA
RNAcentral lists this unclassified non-coding RNA (248 nucleotides) under uncultured fungus. RNAcentral's name for it is "partial contains 5.8S ribosomal RNA, internal transcribed spacer 2, and large subunit ribosomal RNA". The record is from RNAcentral. Lineage: Eukaryota; Fungi.